UGCCAGCCGCCGCGGUAAGACGGGAGAUGCAAGCGUUAUUCGGAUUUAUUGGGCGUAAAGGGUCUGUAGGUUGUUGGUUAAGUCUAUGGUCAAAUUCCGAAGCUCAACUUCGGGCCGGCACUAGAAACUAAUCAACUUGAGUACGUUAGAGGCAGGGGUAGAGGGAAUUUCUAGUGUAGCGGUGAAAUGCGUAGAUAUUAGAAAGAACACCGGUGGCGAAAGCGCUCUACUGGACCAUUACUGACACUCAGAGGCGAAAGCUAGGGUAGCAAAAGGGAUUAGAUA
This 285-nucleotide ribosomal RNA is filed under the name uncultured bacterium. Its description in RNAcentral is "partial 16S ribosomal RNA". It matches the Rfam family "Bacterial small subunit ribosomal RNA", at positions 506 to 784 of the family's 1533-position model. The record is from RNAcentral.